This 198-nucleotide ribosomal RNA is filed under the name Pneumocystis carinii. RNAcentral describes it as "large subunit ribosomal RNA". It matches the Rfam family "Bacterial large subunit ribosomal RNA", at positions 842 to 1031 of the family's 2925-position model. Lineage: Eukaryota; Fungi; Ascomycota; Pneumocystomycetes; Pneumocystales; Pneumocystaceae. The record is from RNAcentral.
GAUAUAGCUGGUUUUCUGCGAAAUUUGUAUUAGCAAAGUGUUUAUGUAAUAAAUUAGUAGGUAUAGCACUGAAUAUUCAUUUAGAGGGAGUACGUAAGUAUUUAUCUCGGAUAUUUAAUCUCAGAAUGACUAAUUUAUAAGAUAAAUCGAUCGGACUUUUUGCGAGAAGGUGGAAAGUCAAGAGGGAAACAGCCCAGA